RNAcentral lists this ribosomal RNA (468 nucleotides) under uncultured bacterium. RNAcentral's name for it is "partial 16S ribosomal RNA". It matches the Rfam family "Bacterial small subunit ribosomal RNA", at positions 28 to 507 of the family's 1533-position model. The record is from RNAcentral.
GACGAACGCUGGCGGCGUGCUUAACACAUGCAAGUCGAACGGAAAGGCCCUGCUUUUGUGGGGUGCUCGAGUGGCGAACGGGUGAGUAACACGUGAGUAACCUGCCCUUGACUUUGGGAUAACUUCAGGAAACUGGGGCUAAUACCGGAUAGGAGCUCCUGCUGCAUGGUGGGGGUUGGAAAGUUUCGGCGGUUGGGGAUGGACUCGCGGCUUAUCAGCUUGUUGGUGGGGUAGUGGCUUACCAAGGCUUUGACGGGUAGCCGGCCUGAGAGGGUGACCGGCCACAUUGGGACGGAGAUACGGCACAGACUCCUACGGGACGGAGCAGUGGGGAAUAUUGCACAAUGGGCGGAAGCCUGAUGCAGCAACGCCGCGUGGGGGAUGACGGCCUUCGGGUUGUAAACCGCUUUCGCCUGUGACGAAGCGUGAGUGACGGUAAUGGGUAAAGAAGCACCGGCUAACUACGUG